CGGAGAGUUUGAUCCUGGCUCAGAUUGAACGCUGGCGGCAUGCCUUACACAUGCAAGUCGAACGGUAACGCGGGGCAACCUGGCGACGAGUGGCGAACGGGUGAGUAACGCAUCGGAACGUGCCCAGUAGUGGGGGAUAGCCCGGCGAAAGCCGGAUUAAUACCGCAUACGACCUCAGGGUGAAAGCGGGGGAUCGCAAGACCUCGCGCUAUUGGAGCGGCCGAUGUCAGAUUAGGUAGUUGGUGGGGUAAAAGCCUACCAAGCCUGCGAUCUGUAGCUGGUCUGAGAGGGCGACCAGCCACACUGGGACUGAGACACGGCCCAGACUCCUACGGGAGGCAGCAGUGGGGAAUUUUGGACAAUGGGCGAAAGCCUGAUCCAGCCAUGCCGCGUGCGGGAAGAAGGCCUUCGGGUUGUAAACCGCUUUUGUCGGGGAAGAAACGUCGCGACCUAAUACGUCGCGGUAAUGACGGUACCUGAAGAAUAAGCACCGGCUAACUACGUGCCAGCAGCCGCGGUAA
This 521-nucleotide ribosomal RNA is filed under the name uncultured bacterium. RNAcentral's name for it is "bacterial SSU rRNA". It matches the Rfam family "Bacterial small subunit ribosomal RNA", at positions 1 to 523 of the family's 1533-position model. The record is from RNAcentral.